This 862-nucleotide ribosomal RNA is filed under the name Phellinopsis tibetica. Its description in RNAcentral is "partial large subunit ribosomal RNA". It matches the Rfam family "Eukaryotic large subunit ribosomal RNA", at positions 77 to 915 of the family's 3401-position model. The record is from RNAcentral. Lineage: Eukaryota; Fungi; Basidiomycota; Agaricomycetes; Hymenochaetales; Hymenochaetaceae.
CCCCUAGUAACUGCGAGUGAAGCGGGAAGAGCUCAAAUUUAGAAUCUGGCGGUCUUCCGGCCGUCCGAGUUGUAGUCUGGAGAAGUGUUUUCCGCGUCGGACCGUGUACAAGUCUCCUGGAACGGAGCGUCAUAGAGGGUGAGAAUCCCGUCCAUGACACGGCCUCCCGAUGCUAUGUGAUACGCUUUCGAAGAGUCGAGUUGUUUGGGAAUGCAGCUCAAAAUGGGUGGUAAAUUCCAUCUAAAGCUAAAUAUUGGCGAGAGACCGAUAGCGAACAAGUACCGUGAGGGAAAGAUGAAAAGCACUUUGGAAAGAGAGUUAAACAGUACGUGAAAUUGUUGAAAGGGAAACGCUUGAAGUCAGUCGCGUCCCUUGGAACUCAGCCUUGCUUCGGCUUGGUGUAUUCUCUGAGUGGACGGGUCAACGUCAGUUUCUGUCGACAGAGAAAGGGAGGGGGAAUGUGGCGCCGCUUCGGCGGCGUGUUAUAGCCUCCUUCCUGAUGUGUCGGUGGGGACUGAGGACCGCAGCGCGCCUUUUUGGCCGGGGGCUCGUCCCACGUACCGCGCUUAAGAUGUUGGCAUAAUGGCUUUAAGCGACCCGUCUUGAAACACGGACCAAGGAGUCUAACAUGCUUGCGAGUGUUAGGGUGGAAAACCCUUGCGCGCAAUGAAAGUGAAAGUUGGGAACCUCCGCGAGGGGGUGCACCGACGCCCGGCCCUGACGUUCUCUGACGGUGCUGCGGUAGAGCAAGUAUGCUGGGACCCGAAAGAUGGUGAACUAUGCCUGAAUAGGGCGAAGCCAGAGGAAACUCUGGUGGAGGCUCGUAGCGAUUCUGACGUGCAAAUCGAUCGUCAAAUUUGGG